GCUCAACAGCUAGCCCCACCCCACCAACUAACCCUUCACUAUAACUAAUUGUUCACACCCUAACAACUAUUCACCAAAUCAUUUUUCCUCCUAAGUAUGGGCGACAGAAAAGGAGUAUGCAGGAGCGACAGAGAAAGUACCGCAAGGGAAAGCUGAAAAAGAAGUGAAACAACUCUUACAAGCACUGGAAAGCAGAGUUAAACUCUCGUACCUUUUGCAUCAUGAUUGAGCAAGUACCCUAGAGCAAAGAGUUCUUUAGUUCUUUACCCCGAAACUAGACGAGCUACUCCGAGGCAGCCUAUUGUAGGGCCAACCCGUCUCUGUGGCAAAAGAGUGGGAAGAACUCCGAGUAGAGGUGACAGACCUACCGAGUCUAGUUAUAGCUGGUUGCCUGGGAAAUGAAUAGAAGUUCAGCCCCCCGACUUUCUGCCCCAACAUUCUCAUAAAUGCUCGGCUCCAGGAUGCUCGAGGGUGUUAGUCAAAGAAGGUUCAGCUUCUUUGAACAAAGACACAACUUUUCUAGGAGGCUAAAGAUCAUAAUCGAUUAAGGAACGUUACUGCAGUGGGCCUGAAAGCAGCCACCUAAAAAGAAAGCGUUAAAGCUCUUGUAACACUCAUAACCCCUUUUAUUAGGAUAAAAUAUCUUAUUCCCCUAAACUUACCGGGCCAUUUCAUGCCCCCAUGAAAAGGACCAUGCUUGAAUGAGUAAUAAGAGGUAAUAGACCCUCUYCCCGCACACGUGUAAACCGGAACGGACCACCCGCCGCUGAUUAACGACCCCAUCCUAAGAGGGAACUGUAUUACGACCCGAUUAAGCCAGAAAGUCACACACAGAACCAUCGUUAACCCCACACAGGAGUGCUUUUCAGGGAAAGACCUAAAGGCAGGGAAGGAACUCGGCAAACACCUUAAGCCUCGCCUGUUUACCAAAAACAUCGCCUCUUGCAACCAAAGUAUAAGAGGUCCCGCCUGCCCUGUGACUCUUAGUUUAACGGCCGCGGUAUUUUGACCGUGCGAAGGUAGCGCAAUCACUUGUCCCUUAAAUGGGGACCUGUAUGAAUGGCAUAACGAGGGCUUAGCUGUCUCCCCCACCUAGUCAAUGAAAUUGAUCUCCCCGUGCAGAAGCGGGGAUUGUUACAUAAGACGAGAAGACCCUAUGAAGCUUUAGACAACCAAGCGGCCCACUCAAAACGACCCGAUGUAAACCACGGCGAAUUCUUAGUGGCAGACACCGCUUAUAUGUCUUUGGUUGGGGCGACCGUGGGGAAAAGAAAAACCCCCAUGAGGAUCGGGGGCCCUGCCCCUAAAGCUGAGAGCCACCUCUCGAAGCAUCAGAACCUUUGACCCUAUGAUCCGGCUAAGCAGCCGAUCAACGAACCGAGUUACUCUAGGGAUAACAGCGCAAUCCUCUCCCAGAGCCCUUAUCGACGAGGGGGUUUACGACCUCGAUGUUGGAUCAGGACAUCCUAAUGGUGCAGCCGCUAUUAAGGGUUCGUUUGUUCAACGAUUAAAGUCCUACGUGAUCUGAGUUCAGACCGGAGUAAUCCAGGUCAGUUUCUAUCUAUGAUUUGAUCUUUUCCAGUACGAAAGGACCGAAAAGGAGGGGCCAAUACCACCGGCACGCCCCACCCCCACCUAAGGAAAACAACUAAAGCAGGCAACUGGGCACACCCCAUUACCCCUUGUUAGAAAACAUAACAU
This 1701-nucleotide ribosomal RNA is filed under the name Ipnops sp. auip01. RNAcentral describes it as "16S ribosomal RNA". The stretch from base 95 to 1615 matches the Rfam family "Bacterial large subunit ribosomal RNA". The record is from RNAcentral. Lineage: Eukaryota; Metazoa; Chordata; Actinopteri; Aulopiformes; Ipnopidae.